Molecule: small nuclear RNA, 105 nt
Organism: Suncus etruscus (white-toothed pygmy shrew)
Lineage: Eukaryota; Metazoa; Chordata; Mammalia; Eulipotyphla; Soricidae
Source: RefSeq, a predicted model, not a curated record
GUUCUCGCUUUGGCAGCACAUAUACAAAAAUUGGAACUAUACAGAAGAUUAGGAUGGCUCCUGUGAAAGGAUGACACACAAAUUCACGAAGCAUUCCAUAAUUAU